CAGUCGCCGCGGUAAGACAGAGGAUGCAAGCGUUAUCCGGAAUGAUUGGGCGUAAAGCGUCUGUAGGUGGCUUUUCAAGUCCGCCGUCAAAUCCCAGGGCUCAACCCUGGACAGGCGGUGGAAACUACCAAGCUAGAGUACGGUAGGGGCAGAGGGAAUUUCCGGUGGAGCGGUGAAAUGCGUUGAGAUCGAAAAGAACACCAACGACGAAAGCACUCUGCUGGGUCGACACUGACACUGAGAGACGAAAGCUAGGGGAGCAAAUGGGAUUAGAUACCCCGGUAGUCCCUGUCUCUUAUAC
Molecule: ribosomal RNA, 301 nt
Filed under: uncultured bacterium
Lineage: Bacteria
Description: partial 16S ribosomal RNA
Rfam family: Bacterial small subunit ribosomal RNA
Source: RNAcentral